CCUUCGAUAGCUCAGUUGGUAGAGCGGAGGACUGUAGGCGAUUAUAGCAGUGAUCCUUAGGUCGCUGGUUCAAAUCCGGCUCGAAGGA
This 88-nucleotide transfer RNA is filed under the name Perca fluviatilis (European perch). It matches the Rfam family "tRNA". From Rfam's summary of the family: Transfer RNA (tRNA) molecules are approximately 80 nucleotides in length. Lineage: Eukaryota; Metazoa; Chordata; Actinopteri; Perciformes; Percidae. The record is from Rfam by way of RNAcentral.